Cinara cedri is the source of this 1202-nucleotide non-coding RNA. Lineage: Eukaryota; Metazoa; Arthropoda; Insecta; Hemiptera; Aphididae. The record is from the annotation of a GenBank genome assembly.
GGUAGAGUUGUCUAUAUAUAUGUAUAUAUGUAAACCGCAACAACUCGCAGCUUUUUAUACAUUAUAAACGGAAUAGAGAUAAAUAAUAAAUACUAUUUAGUUUUAUUAAUAUUUUCCGUUAGAUCAAUACAAAUUUGAUAUCUACUCGAGUUUUACGGAGAUACCUAAUAACUCUGACACGACCAUUGAAGUUUAGUAUAGUCAUAAUAUUUCAUUUAUUCAAGUGUAUCGUUUGGCCGUUUCCGUUAAAUACACACACACUGCGCUGCCAUAGAUAACAAUAUUAUUUUGUUCCUACACAUUCAUACUGACGAUCAUUCAUUGUUAUAAUAAUAUAUAUUUACUAUACUAUACAUUAUCGUUUGUGCUCGUAGUCAUUCUUAAUUGUACGUUUUCAUUCCAAUCGAAUUCCGUUGUUUAGAAAUUAAACUGCGUGUAUCGAAUUUUUCCGCGUACGCCGCAUCGUCGCGAUAUUGUUAUAGCACAAUGCAACUUACGAAAGGGCUGCAGAGAAAAAAAAACAACUUUUAUGCUUACAACUCAAAUAUGUUUAAGUAUACAAACAGUGGAAAUUAACAAUACGCCAUGCCACGCUCGCCGUUCGCAACAAACGGGCGACAUAGAAAAAUCACGGAGAACAUAAAUUUCAGCGUUUAGAUUGAAAUUCAAAUUUUUAAUCACGAUCAUUUUUAACAGGAGAAUAUUUUCAAGGACACAGUAUGCGUUUCUGUUUUUUUUUUUCUUUCAGUUAUUGUCACACAACAACAGUCGGUUGUUUUAUAGUUCAGGCUUUCGUUUUCAAAUAGUCGCGAUUGUUUCGUUUGACAACAUUUUAGAAAAACAACAACGUUCUUCUAAAUUAUGAUUUCCACAUAAACGCCAGAAUUUAAUAACGUAAUUUUACUGCUACGUCGGUUGUCAAACUGAGUCGGCGUAGUAAAUACGCGUGUGGCGCGCUCUUAAAAUCAGAUUUACGAGUAAUUAUUAAACCAUUAUAAUAAUCACUGUGUAAAUACACCUAUACAGUGAUUUUUACGUUAUAAAUAAUUGUCUGUAGGCCCGUUGAAAAUAUUAUGCAUGAAAACCUAUGCAUUCCACUCGCACGACCAUCGUAAUAAAGUUUGCGUACAAACUAUCAAACUAAAAUGAAAUAUGAUUAUUGAACGCGUAUAUAUUUCUAUGUUCACGACUUUGGACUGUUU